UACGAAGGGGGCUAGCGUUGUUCGGAUUUACUGGGCGUAAAGCGCACGUAGGCGGAUCGAUCAGUCAGGGGUGAAAUCCCAGAGCUCAACUCUGGAACUGCCUUUGAUACUGUCGAUCUGGAGUAUGGAAGAGGUGAGUGGAAUUCCGAGUGUAGAGGUGAAAUUCGUAUGUAUUCGGAGGAACACCAGUGGCGAAGGCGGCUCACUGGUCCAUUACUGACGCUGAGGUGCGAAAGCGUGGGGAGCAAACAGG
RNAcentral lists this ribosomal RNA (253 nucleotides) under uncultured bacterium. RNAcentral's name for it is "partial 16S ribosomal RNA". It matches the Rfam family "Bacterial small subunit ribosomal RNA", at positions 524 to 776 of the family's 1533-position model. The record is from RNAcentral.